GCGCCCGUAGCUCAGCUGGAUAGAGCGUGAGCCUCCGGAGCUCAAGGUCACAGGUUCGAAUCCUGUCGGGCGCACCA
RNAcentral lists this transfer RNA (77 nucleotides) under Acidobacteriota bacterium. RNAcentral describes it as "Acidobacteria bacterium (activated sludge metagenome) tRNA-Arg". It matches the Rfam family "tRNA". From Rfam's summary of the family: Transfer RNA (tRNA) molecules are approximately 80 nucleotides in length. Their secondary structure includes four short double-helical elements and three loops (D, anti-codon, and T loops). Lineage: Bacteria; Pseudomonadati; Acidobacteriota. RNAcentral also lists the same sequence under 3 other names. The record is from RNAcentral.